GGGGAAUAUUGCACAAUGGGGGAAACCCUGAUGCAGCAACGCCGCGUGAGUGAUGAAGGCCUUCGGGUUGUAAAGCUCUGUCUUUGGGGACGAUUAUGACGGUACCCAAGGAGGAAGCCACGGCUAACUACGUGCCAGCAGCCGCGGUAAUACGUAGGUGGCAAGCGUUGUCCGGAUUUACUGGGCGUAAAGGAUGCGUAGGCGGAUAUUUAAGUGAGAUGUGAAAUACCCGGGCUCAACUUGGGUGCUGCAUUUCAAACUGGAUAUCUAGAGUGCAGGAGAGGAAAGUGGAAUUCCUAGUGUAGCGGUGAAAUGCGUAGAGAUUAGGAAGAACAUCAGUGGCGAAGGCGACUUUCUGGACUGUAACUGACGCUGAGGCAUGAAAGCGUGGGGAGCAAAC
This 400-nucleotide ribosomal RNA is filed under the name uncultured bacterium. RNAcentral describes it as "bacterial SSU rRNA". It matches the Rfam family "Bacterial small subunit ribosomal RNA", at positions 356 to 773 of the family's 1533-position model. The record is from RNAcentral.